UAGAGUUUGAUCCUGGCUCAGGAUGAACGCUAGCGACAGGCCUAACACAUGCAAGUCGAGGGGCAUCGGGGCGAGGAGCAAUCCUUGCCGCCGGCGACCGGCGCACGGGUGAGUAACGCGUAUGCGACCUGCCCGUUGCAGGGGGAUAAUCGGGAGAAAUCCCGUCUAAUACCGCGUAACGCCGCGGGGCUGCAUGGCCCUGCGGCCAAAGGAAGCGAUUCCGGCAACGGAUGGGCAUGCGUGACAUUAGCUAGUUGGCGGGGCAACGGCCCACCAAGGCGACGAUGUCUAGGGGUUCUGAGAGGAAGGUCCCCCACACUGGUACUGAGACACGGACCAGACUCCUACGGGAGGCAGCAGUGAGGAAUAUUGGUCAAUGGGCGCGAGCCUGAACCAGCCAAGUCGCGUGAGGGAUGACGGCCCUACGGGUUGUAAACCUCUUUUGUCGGGGAGCAAAUUCCGCCACGUGUGGCGGAGUCGAGAGUACCCGAAGAAAAAGCAUCGGCUAACUCCGUGCCAGCAGCCGCGGUAAUACGGAGGAUGCGAGCGUUAUCCGGAUUUAUUGGGUUUAAAGGGUGCGCAGGCGGAAGAUCAAGUCAGCGGUAAAAUUGAGAGGCUCAACCUCUUCGAGCCGUUGAAACUGGUUUUCUUGAGUGAGCGAGAAGUAUGCGGAAUGCGUGGUGUAGCGGUGAAAUGCAUAGAUAUCACGCAGAACUCCGAUUGCGAAGGCAGCAUACCGGCGCUCAACUGACGCUCAUGCACGAAAGUGUGGGUAUCGAACAGGAUUAGAUACCCUGGUAGUCCACACAGUAAACGAUGAAUACUAAUUGUUCGGGGAGAAUGAUCCCUGAGUGAUACAGCGAAAGCGUUAAGUAUUCCACCUGGGGAGUACGCCGGCAACGGUGAAACUCAAAGGAAUUGACGGGGGCCCGCACAAGCGGAGGAACAUGUGGUUUAAUUCGAUGAUACGCGAGGAACCUUACCCGGGCUCAAACGACACAGGAAUACUUUUGAAAGGAGGUAGCUCUACGGAGUCUGUGUCGAGGUGCUGCAUGGUUGUCGUCAGCUCGUGCCGUGAGGUGUCGGCUUAAGUGCCAUAACGAGCGCAACCCCCAUCGCCAGUUACCAGCAAGUCAAGUUGGGGACUCUGGCGAGACUGCCGGCGCAAGCUGUGAGGAAGGCGGGGAUGACGUCAAAUCAGCACGGCCCUUACGUCCGGGGCGACACACGUGUUACAAUGGCAGGUACAGAGAGAAGCAAUGCGGCGACGCAAAGCGGAACUUGAAAGCCUGUCUCAGUUCGGAUUGGAGUCUGCAACUCGACUCCAUGAAGCUGGAUUCGCUAGUAAUCGCGCAUUAGCCAUGGCGCGGUGAAUACGUUCCCGGGCCUUGUACACACCGCCCGUCAAGCCAUGGAAGCCGGGAGUGCCUGAAGUGCGUGAGCGCAAGCAGCGCCCUAGGGUAAAACCGGUGACUGGGGCUAAGUCGUAAUCAAGGUAACCGUAA
Molecule: ribosomal RNA, 1505 nt
Filed under: uncultured bacterium
Lineage: Bacteria
Description: bacterial SSU rRNA
Rfam family: Bacterial small subunit ribosomal RNA
Source: RNAcentral